UCGAGCGAUGACGAGAAGCUUGCUUCUCUGAUUUAGCGGCGGACGGGUGAGUAACACGUGGGCAACCUGCCCUACAGAUUGGGAUAACUCAGGGAAACCUGGGCUAAUACCGAAUAAUCCUUCGAAUCACAUGUUUUGAAGUUAAAAGGCGCUUCGGCGUCACUGUAGGAUGGGCCCGCGGUGCAUUAGCUAGUUGGUGGGGUAACGGCCUACCAAGGCAACGAUGCAUAGCCGACCUGAGAGGGUGAUCGGCCACAUUGGGACUGAGACACGGCCCAAACUCCUACGGGAGGCAGCAGUAGGGAAUCUUCCACAAUGGACGAAAGUCUGAUGGAGCAACGCCGCGUGAGUGAUGAAGGUUUUCGGAUCGUAAAACUCUGUUGUAAGGGAAGAACAAGUACGUUAGGAAAUGAACGUACCUUGACGGUACCUUAUUAGAAAGCCACGGCUAACUACGUGCCAGCAGCCGCGGUAAUACGUAGGUGGCAAGCGUUGUCCGGAUUUAUUGGGCGUAAAGCGCGCGCAGGUGGUUUCUUAAGUCUGAUGUGAAAGCCCACGGCUCAACCGUGGAGGGUCAUUGGAAACUGGGGAACUUGAGUGCAGAAGAGGAUAGUGGAAUUCCAAGUGUAGCGGUGAAAUGCGUAGAGAUUUGGGAGGAACACCAGUGGCGAAGCGAGUGUCUGGGUCUGUUAC
This 693-nucleotide ribosomal RNA is filed under the name Kurthia sp. SRCsc.01. Its description in RNAcentral is "bacterial SSU rRNA". It matches the Rfam family "Bacterial small subunit ribosomal RNA", at positions 62 to 740 of the family's 1533-position model. The record is from RNAcentral. Lineage: Bacteria; Bacillati; Bacillota; Bacilli; Caryophanales; Caryophanaceae.